This 895-nucleotide long non-coding RNA is filed under the name Homo sapiens (human). RNAcentral describes it as "long non-coding RNA NONHSAT185099.1". The record is from RNAcentral. Lineage: Eukaryota; Metazoa; Chordata; Mammalia; Primates; Hominidae.
GGAAGCCCCAGCGCAGCUUCUCUUCCUCCUGCUACUCUGGCUCCCAGAUACCACCGGAGAAAUUGUGUUGACACAGUCUCCAGCCACCCUGUCUUUGUCUCCAGGGGAAAGAGCCACCCUCUCCUGCAGGGCCAGUCAGAGUGUUAGCAGCUACUUAGCCUGGUACCAACAGAAACCUGGCCAGGCUCCCAGGCUCCUCAUCUAUGAUGCAUCCAACAGGGCCACUGGCAUCCCAGCCAGGUUCAGUGGCAGUGGGUCUGGGACAGACUUCACUCUCACCAUCAGCAGCCUAGAGCCUGAAGAUUUUGCAGUUUAUUACUGUCAGCAGCUAUUGUUAGCUCAGAAGACAUUGCUUUGUUUUCUAAUUUUCUGAGCAAAUGAACUGUGGCUGCACCAUCUGUCUUCAUCUUCCCGCCAUCUGAUGAGCAGUUGAAAUCUGGAACUGCCUCUGUUGUGUGCCUGCUGAAUAACUUCUAUCCCAGAGAGGCCAAAGUACAGUGGAAGGUGGAUAACGCCCUCCAAUCGGGUAACUCCCAGGAGAGUGUCACAGAGCAGGACAGCAAGGACAGCACCUACAGCCUCAGCAGCACCCUGACGCUGAGCAAAGCAGACUACGAGAAACACAAAGUCUACGCCUGCGAAGUCACCCAUCAGGGCCUGAGCUCGCCCGUCACAAAGAGCUUCAACAGGGGAGAGUGUUAGAGGGAGAAGUGCCCCCACCUGCUCCUCAGUUCCAGCCUGACCCCCUCCCAUCCUUUGGCCUCUGACCCUUUUUCCACAGGGGACCUACCCCUAUUGCGGUCCUCCAGCUCAUCUUUCACCUCACCCCCCUCCUCCUCCUUGGCUUUAAUUAUGCUAAUGUUGGAGGAGAAUGAAUAAAUAAAGUGAAUCUUUG